RNAcentral lists this ribosomal RNA (484 nucleotides) under uncultured bacterium. Its description in RNAcentral is "partial 16S ribosomal RNA". It matches the Rfam family "Bacterial small subunit ribosomal RNA", at positions 30 to 507 of the family's 1533-position model. The record is from RNAcentral.
AUUGAACGCUAGCGGGAUGCUUUACACAUGCAAGUCGAACGGCAGCGCGGACUUCGGUCUGGCGGCGAGUGGCGAACGGGUGAGUAAUGUAUCGGGACGUGCCCAGUAGCGGGGGAUAACUACGCGAAAGCGUAGCUAAUACCGCAUACGCCCUACGGGGGAAAGCAGGGGAUCGUAAGACCUUGCACUAUUGGAGCGGCCGAUAUCGGAUUAGCUAGUUGGUGAGGUAACGGCUCACCAAGGCGACGAUCCGUAGCUGGUUUGAGAGGACGACCAGCCACACUGGGACUGAGACACGGCCCAGACUCCUACGGGAGGCAGCAGUGGGGAAUUUUGGACAAUGGGGGCAACCCUGAUCCAGCCAUCCCGCGUGUGCGAUGAAGGCCUUCGGGUUGUAAAGCACUUUUGGCAGGAAAGAAACGUCGCGGGCUAAUACCCCGUGGAACUGACGGUACCUGCAGAAUAAGCACCGGCUAACUACGUG